AUUUAGCUGACGAGUCCAAAAUAGAACGAAAUGUAUGUCCUGAAU
RNAcentral lists this non-coding RNA (45 nucleotides) under Schistosoma margrebowiei. Lineage: Eukaryota; Metazoa; Platyhelminthes; Trematoda; Strigeidida; Schistosomatidae. The record is from RNAcentral.